RNAcentral lists this ribosomal RNA (495 nucleotides) under uncultured bacterium. Its description in RNAcentral is "partial 16S ribosomal RNA". It matches the Rfam family "Bacterial small subunit ribosomal RNA", at positions 29 to 506 of the family's 1533-position model. The record is from RNAcentral.
AUGAACGCUGGCGGCGUGCCUAAUACAUGCAGGUCGAGCGAACAGACGAGGAGCUUGCUCCUCUGACGUUAGCGGCGGACGGGUGAGUAACACGUGGAUAACCUACCUAUAAGACUGGGAUAACUUCGGGAAACCGGAGCUAAUACCGGAUAAUAUAUUGAACCGCAUGGUUCAAUAGUGAAAGACGGUUUUGCUGUCACUUAUAGAUGGAUCCGCGCCGCAUUAGCUAGUUGGUAAGGUAACGGCUUACCAAGGCAACGAUGCGUAGCCGACCUGAGAGGGGGAACGCCCAACUGGGAAAGGGAACCGGGGCCAGCCCCCGAGGGGAGGCAGAGGGAGGGAAUCUUCCGGAAGGGGGGAAAGCCGGAAGGGGCAACGCCGCGGGGGUGAGGAAGGUUUUCGGACCGUAAACCUCUUUUAUGGGGGAAAAAAAAAUGUGUAAGUAACUAUGCACGUCUUGACGGUACCUAAUAAGAAAGCCCCGGUUAACUACUU